GACUUCUUACUCACUGAUUGGACAGAGCCUGCUUCUGGUGCAGCUAUGCCAGCCUGGCUUUGCUGGCCUUGUUACGGUCCUCUGAUCCUUUAGGGAGAGCUGCUUUUGUGAGAGCGAGAUGGGCUGGAAUGUGCCUCUGAUCUCAUACAGAUCUAAUCUGCCUUCUUGAGAUGCAUCUUUAUCAGGCUCUCUUCAGCUGAGACUGACGUUUAGGGGAAGGUGGUGAUAGCACUUGUUUAAUCGCCAUUGGAGAUCUGAAAGAAGUAAAGGGUAAGUGUGAGAGAGAUUUUUAGCUUACUGAAACCAUCAAUGCAGCAUUUUCUUCAGGCAUACUCAG
This 337-nucleotide long non-coding RNA is filed under the name Mustela putorius furo (domestic ferret). RNAcentral describes it as "lncRNA (ENSMPUG00000030302.1)". The record is from RNAcentral. Lineage: Eukaryota; Metazoa; Chordata; Mammalia; Carnivora; Mustelidae.